RNAcentral lists this long non-coding RNA (2316 nucleotides) under Orbicella faveolata. RNAcentral describes it as "uncharacterized LOC110040171, transcript variant X1". Lineage: Eukaryota; Metazoa; Cnidaria; Anthozoa; Scleractinia; Merulinidae. The record is from RNAcentral.
AAAAUUGCGCAGGAUUUUUAAUCAUGGUAAUGAAAAAUGUAAACUCAAAUCGAAUUUACACGAUCGAUUGCGUGGUUUUCAAGGCAUAAUUACGAAACACAAUGAAUAUGUCACUAUUCAUUUUAUACACCAAAUGGGCGGCAAACUGGUUUUAAAUGCAAAUGUUUUUGGCACUCUGGUAUUGAUUUAUGCCGUCCAAUAGCACAGAGCUUGAGUGUUUUCAUCGGUCAACAUACCAACAUGCGUUCGAGACCACUGAGACUAAACGUCUGCGAAGCCCAAUGAUUAAUAUUUGAAAUCGAGUCAAAGAAGUUUUGAUCACUCGGAGGAAUAUUGCGGGAUCUUUACACAGCUUUACAGAGUAAAGACCGCAAUUUAUGGGGAUUCCUUUGACCAAGUCUCUAAUAUUUCGCUUUAGUGGCUAAAAUCACAAAAACACAUCGUAUGACGAUCGUUUAGCAGUCGUUGCAUUAACUCAAUUUGCGAGAACUCGAGGUUGUCGAUUGUGUUUGGGUACUGCUUUAUACGGUGUGCUUGAACUUUUUAACAGUCGAAGUUCCACUGCGAUCUUGACAGGGCAAGCGCUUGUUUCAACAAGAAAGGUGAAGCUUUUGGCGCAAAACGUGAUAAUCCUACACGAAGAACCUGUUGUUAUUGUUGGGGCAAGUUGUCGACGCAUAUCGGGUUUCCAUGAAGUUGAUUUUCGUCUAAAGUUUCGUACGAGUUUUGCGAUAUAAAAGGACUGCGAGAAGAUGACUCCAUUAAACGGGCGAUGUUUGCUCUUUCUCGUAUAUUUUUCCACCUUCCUUGCUUGGAGCGACGAAUCAUCGAAUGCAGAUUAUUCGCGUGCGAGGGCAUCAUUUGAAGGUAUGUCUUAAAUCAUGCAUGCGUAUAGAGAGAGUACUUAUAUCCGUACUCGCUAUUCUUCUGUCCCAACUGAAAGAAUGUAAGCCUCACGUGAAGAUUACCUCGUUGAAAGGUUCUGCGUUCUUGCAAGAAUUCUUUCUGUGGGUUCCCCGAUGUUUUGGCGAAACUUUGUUUUAAUAUCAAGUUGUUUUCCGAGAGGCCCAAAUAAAGGCAGAUAGUUGAAGAGCUUUGUUUUGGAAACGUAGUGCCUCUUAAACUUUGUAUUCCAUCAAUAAACCCUCGCAGCUGGAGGGAAUCGCAAAAAUUACUCAACAAUAGUGAAACGGUUUGUAUAUUUCCCACGAAGGGACAGAAAUCCCUUUGUGUUGAAAUGGCCUUAACGCGAAGAACCUAUACUACCGGAAAAUUAACUCACACCAAAAAAUCAAUAUGGCGUUGUCUGGCGACGUUAAGUGUGUUUUUAGUUGAUAAAUUUUCAUCGCGAUGUAACUGAAUUAUUUGAUAUUGAUCAAUGUAUUUUGGACCGCUAAACGAUAAGGUAUUAGUUACGAUUUUUAAUCCAGCGCGCAUUCGAUCGCUUACUACAGUGUGCUGGCCUUCAUCAUGAGUUAAUUUUUAUUUGUAAUAAAAAUCUUGCGAAGUAAUUUAAAACACCAGCAUGCAAAUAUCGUCAUUGAUCCACCAUAAAAGAAUGAAAUGCAAAUUUACUGUAUUUUUGUGAUUUAGGAUGCUUUGUUUAGAAUUGAAUGGAAAGUUCACGACUUGUGCACUCUGCAAAUGCCCUGUGUUAAAUUGACUGCCAGUUAGAUUUAUGAAUCGUGAUUAUGUCCGUGAAACCUUCUCUGCAGCGUGAAAUAUAAGACGAGAUACCUCGGAAAAGCAAUCUGGUGUCAAUUAGCUUUUCAUCAACAUUUCAUUUACGAGAUUGUUAAGUAAACAGAAAAGGCUUAACGAAAAUUACCUUGAAACUAAGAACGCGCUUUUCAUUCAAAAGGGGUUCAUUUUAUAGUGUCGAUUUCUUCCUACCUCUGACAAAACUAAUAACUGAUUCAUUCAGAUGUAUAGUCGAGGCUUAGUACACAGAGUGCAGAGCUUAAGAAUCAACAACGAAGCUUCUGUUGUCUCUUUGAAGUGAUAGAAAACAAACCCCUUUCUUAGAUGGUUUAGAGUCAGGACUGUUAAAGUGGGGAUGGGUGGCACAACUCCCAUAGAAUUUCCCUGGUAGCCUUGGACACUCUGAUCUUCCAAUGUGAUUAACAUAGAAGUUCUCCUUAAAAUGUCAAGACAAUAUAGUGAAUCUGUUUAUAAGAACUUAUAAAUACAUCAACUAGGAAUUAUAAAUGUAUGAAGUCAAGUUGUGUUGAUGUACCCACAAUUUUUGUUAAGGCUUAGUAUAUUAAAGAAGUAUGAUAUUAUACCGAUGUACGAUUGGAAGGUUGGGAUGGCUGU